Molecule: long non-coding RNA, 568 nt
Filed under: Androctonus crassicauda
Lineage: Eukaryota; Metazoa; Arthropoda; Arachnida; Scorpiones; Buthidae
Source: RNAcentral
UAUAUCCGGCUGUAGUUUCUUUACUGGCAACAUUUUUUCUGACUUCAACAGUUUUCAUCCGUUUUCCUUGACACUCAAUUUUAUCUAACUUCGAAUGAUCCGAUAAAAUCUCCCACACUAGUUUUUAUACUAUUGCUGAGAAAUUGGCCUUUUAUCCUUGAGUCGGGUGUCACUACAUUGCCAUUCCAUACAAUACUAUUACCCGACAUCUGUGUUUAUAUUGCUUGUGAUUUAACUGUAUUGGGGAUGAGUCCACAGGCUGGGUUACAUGAUAUGUUAUCAUGUGUCACCUUUUGGUGUGUCUCUCUUUCUCUCUCUCUUUCCCCCCUCCAAAUUCCUUUUUCAGUUUUUCCCCUUAUCAAAAAAAAACCAAAAUCUGGAGGUGAGGAAAGACACAUCACAUCCAACUUGCGUUCCUGUCCCUCACAUUUAAAAAUUAUAAAUUAUAGUAAAAAAUGAAUAUUUUUGCAUCAGAAAAUAGACAUUUCACCAAAAAAUAAGAUUUCAUACAUUCAGAAGAUAUAUAUAUAAAAAAAAUAAUAAUAAUAAAAAUUUCACAUAAUUAACA